UACGGAGGGGGCUAGCGUUGUUCGGAAUUACUGGGCGUAAAGGGUGCGUAGGCGGACUGGAAAGUUGGGGGUGAAAUCCCGGGGCUCAACCCCGGAACUGCCCUCAAAACUGUCAGUCUGGAGUUCGGGAGAGGUGAGUGGAAUUCCUAGUGUAGAGGUGAAAUUCGUAGAUAUUAGGAGGAACACCAGUGGCGAAGGCGGCUCACUGGCCCGAUACUGACGCUGAGGCACGAAAGCGUGGGUAG
This 245-nucleotide ribosomal RNA is filed under the name uncultured Paracoccaceae bacterium. Its description in RNAcentral is "uncultured Rhodobacteraceae bacterium partial 16S ribosomal RNA". It matches the Rfam family "Bacterial small subunit ribosomal RNA", at positions 524 to 768 of the family's 1533-position model. The record is from RNAcentral. Lineage: Bacteria; Pseudomonadati; Pseudomonadota; Alphaproteobacteria; Rhodobacterales; Paracoccaceae.